Molecule: long non-coding RNA, 819 nt
Organism: Bos taurus (domestic cattle)
Lineage: Eukaryota; Metazoa; Chordata; Mammalia; Artiodactyla; Bovidae
Source: Ensembl
ACCUGACAGAGUCCCUUGGACUGCAAGGAGAUCGAUCCAACCAGUCAAUCCUAAAGGAAAUCAAUCCUGAAUAUUCUUUGUAAGGACUGAUGCUGAGCUUGAAUCUCCAAUACUUUAGCCACCUGAUGUGAAGAACUGACUCAUUUCCAAAGACCCUGAUGCUGGGAAAUAUUGAAGGCGGGAGGAAAAGGGGAAGACAGAGGAUGAGAUGGUUGGAUGGCAUCACCGACUCAAUGGACAUGAGUGAAAUGGAACUAUCUCUCUAGAGAAGUUACAUGGUAAAUAAAACCAGGUCAAAGAGAAGUUUGAAAAAGGAAAAGGAAGACACUGCCUCAGUUCACAAACAAGGAAACUGAGCCCAGGGAACAACUGACUUCAAGCUUGAAUACUGGGCCCACCAGCUCCUGUGUCCAUGGAAUUUCCCAGGCAAGACCAUUUCCAACCUCUGGACCAACUUCCAAAUGGCUAAGAAGGAUGCCAGGACCAGAUUUUAGGCAUCCUCGCUCAGCUUCACUCAGGAGAUUCCCAGGCUGGGCUCAUGGCAUAUGAAAGUCCUCAUGAUUCAGGAGAUGGAUGUAUCUGGAGAGACCUUCAAAGGAGGAUGACGCUUUCAUCUAUCAAAUCUGCAGAAUGCCUAGAAAACACAACACAUUUCAGUCAGCAGUUUAGCAUGGACCUGGGAGUGUCUGCACACUUGAGGUUGUGACCUUCCUGCCCACUCAGCCUAGAGGACUUGAACCACUCCAUCACACCCAGUACCACCAAGCACACAACCAUGUUUCUGGCCUAUCUUUACAUCUUGGGGUUUCUGUCUUCUAU